Long non-coding RNA from Gopherus flavomarginatus (Mexican gopher tortoise), 3055 nucleotides. RefSeq lists it as uncharacterized. The record is from RefSeq and is a predicted model, not a curated record. The transcript is spliced from 2 exons. NCBI's taxonomy places the organism in Eukaryota, Metazoa, Chordata, Testudines, Testudinidae.
UCAUUUAUUCACUCUGAUUUAAGGUUUUGCGUGCCAGUAAUACAUUUUAAUAUUUUUAGAAGGUCUCUGUCUGUAAGUCUAUAAUAUAUAACUAAACUAUUGUUGUAUGUAAAGUAAAUAAGGUAUUUAAAAUGUUUAAAAAGCUUCAUUUAAAAUUAAAUUAAAAUGCAGAGCCCCCCCAGACCAGUGGCCAGGACCUGGGUAGUGUGAGUGCCACUGAAAAUCAGCUCGUGUGCCGCCUUCAGCACCUAUGCCCUAGGUUGCCUACCCCGGCAUAGAGAAUACACCUAUAAAGUUUGUGGAUGAUACCAAGCUGGGAGGGGUUGCAAGUGCUUUGGAGAUAGAAUGAAAAUUCAAAAUGAUGUGGACAAACUGGAGAAAUGGUCUGAAGUAAUUGGGAUGAAAUUCAAUAAGGACAAAUGCAAAAUGCUCCACUUACAAAUGAACAAUCAGUUGCACACAUACAAAAUGGGAAAUGACUGCCUAGGAUGGAGUACUGUGGAAAGGGAUCUGGGGGUCAUAGUGGAUCACAAGCUAAAUGAGUCAGUAUUCUGGGAUGUAUUAGCAGGAGUGUUGAGGCCUUGUCAGCGCAGAGUAGAACAAAAGAAUUACAUCUUCAACUCGAGUAUUGUGUCCGGUUCUGGGUGCCACAUUUGGGGGGCUCCCAGGAAAAAUGGGUGUCCCAGCCCCAGGGCAGAAAUCCCUAUGAGGCCACCCUGAGCCCUGGCAGGAGUGGGGGAGCCCUGGCUGGAGGGGUGGCAGGGUAUAGUGGCAAAACCCCAGACAGGCCCAUCCCUAGCUAUUUUGGCUCUGUGGGGCCCCACCCCAGGCCUCUGCAGGGAUGGGGGGGUUGUCCACUUUCUGCGGGAAAUGGAGUGACCUGGCCCCAGCUUGCUCUGCUUCCCUGGCUCCCAGAUUUAGGGGGAGAGGGGAACCGCCCCUCAGCACUGGCUGGCAGUGUGGUUGGGAGCCAGGGGAGUGGAGCAGGCUGGGGCCAGGUCGCUCUACUUACCAGUGAGUGCAGGCCCGACCGCUUCUGGAGUCUUCAGUGGAGUGAGGUCGGGGCUGGGGCAGAGCAGAGGUGGGAAGAGGCAGAGCAGGGGCUUGAGCCCUAAGCAGCUGCGUACUUUACAUAUGGGUAAGGAAGGCCCUGGCCCCAGAGCCUGGUCUGCCCCUGCCUCAGAGCUCGGGCUGCCCCAGCUUCAGCUGUUGGGAGCGAAUGUCCCCAGCUCGGCGGAAGCCACGCCUGGAGCUGUGGGGGGAAACUGAAGCCUGGAGUCCAGCUCCUGAGCUGCUGCAGCACAGAAAUCAGGGUGAACCACUCAUCUUUGCGCUUCCCUUGGAGGUGGGUCUGAUCUCCCCACUAAGUGUGGGUGUACAGGGGAAAGACAACUCCUGUCUCUCCCCAGCACGGACACAUUAGCAGCUCGGCUCUGAGCAGCAGGGGAAAUCAGAUUUCAUGAGGGAGGAUUGAUUUCAUGGUCUGUGACAUGUUUUUCACGGCUGUGAAAUUGGUAGGGCCCUACAUCUAAGGGAAGAUUGAGAAAACUGGGUUUGUUCAGUCUGGAGAAGAGAAGACUAAGAGGGAACACAAGUUUUCAAUUACAUAAAAGGUUGUGACAAGGAAGAGGGAGAAAAAUUUUUCUCCUUAACCUCUGAGACUAGGACAAGAAGCAAUGGGCUUAAAUUGCAGCAACAGCUGUUAAGGAUGGACAUAUUAGGAAAAACUUCCUAACUGUCAGGGUGGUUAAGCACUGGAAUAAAUUGCCUAGGGAGGUUGAGGAAUCUCCAUCAUUGGAGACUUUUAAGAGCAGGUUAGACAAACACCUGUCAGGGAUAGUCUAGAUAAUAAUUUUAAUCCUGUCAUUAAUACAGGGGACUGCACUAGAUCUCUCGAGGUCCCUUCCAGUCCUAUGAUUCUAUGACUUGCAGGAAUAUUAGCUAUUGAUCUAAGUAUGCUGGCCUUCAUACCAUUGAAAAACUUACAUUAAGGGCAUUUUAAAAAAAUCUAGAUUCCAGUUUAUUUCAUUUUGGAGAUGGACAGAAAUUAACAGUGUAUGUUUGCCCUUUUGGGGAGGUUACAGUUGUCUUAAGAUAAAAUUGAUCUCAAGGGAUAGUUAGGUUUGUUAGGAAGGGACCUAGUCCAUCUUGCUUCUGAAUCCUGAGAGAGACCAUCUCACAUGUAAUAACUGCCAUUACCAGCUUGUUUUGUCCCUGUCGGGCUUCAACAUGGCUGUUUAACUACUUCAUUGCUGAUAAUACUUUGCCUUUUAUACAGUCUUCUAUGUAGAGUGCUAUGCCAAGAACUACAUCUUAUUAAACCAUCUCAAAGUACUUCAGUAAUGAAACAUAUUGCUGCCCAGGAUGUCAGAUGAAUACUAUAAAUAUUUCUCACAUGGCAACAUGCUGACUAACCACCUGAGGAAAUAUGAGUGCCAGAAAUAAAUCCCAAUCAAUUAUAAGCUGAAAAAAUCAGUUACAACUAUGUCAAACCAAUAGAAGAAGAGUGGGAAGCACCCAUAGUUUAUAUCUGUGGCUCCUUAUUUAGACAAACACAAAAUGAAGGGAACAAUGAAAUAGUUAGGACUGAUCUUUAAUUAAACUUGUCAUCUGCCUCUAUUCCAAAGGCGGCACACAAACUGAUUUUCAGUGGCACUCACACUGCCUAGGUCCGAGGGGCUGUGCAUUUUAAUUUAAUUUUAAAUUAAGCUUCUUAAACACUUUAAAAACCUUUAUUUUACAUACAACAAUAGUUUAGUUAUAUAUUAUAGACUCUAGAAAGAGACCUUCUAAAAAUGUUAAAAUGUAUUACUGGCAUGCAAAACCUUAAAUUAGAGUGAAUAAAUGAAGACUCAGCACACCACUUCUGAAAGGUUGCCAACCCCUGGUUUAGAAACAUAAAUUCUGAGUUUCAACAGAUCCCAUGAGAGUAUGUAAGAGACAUUGAGGCAAGGGUAGAUUGGGGUUUGACAGUUGACUUUCAUUUAGUACAUUUGUAUGUUUGUUUUUAAUGUAUCAGUUCAAGUUCUUUUUAUUGAGUAUUUGAAAUACUUAG